Molecule: ribosomal RNA, 139 nt
Filed under: uncultured eukaryote
Lineage: Eukaryota
Description: partial 18S ribosomal RNA
Rfam family: Eukaryotic small subunit ribosomal RNA
Source: RNAcentral
UGGUGGAGUGAUUUGUCUGCUUAAUUGCGUUAACGAACGAGACCUUCACCUGCUAAAUAGCUACGCGAACCCCCGGUUCGUGGGCAGCUUCUUAGAGGGACUAUCUGAGUCAAUCAGAUGGAAGCUGGAGGCAAUAACA